This 351-nucleotide long non-coding RNA is filed under the name Sorghum bicolor (sorghum). RNAcentral describes it as "long non-coding RNA (SBIC_LNC000469)". The record is from RNAcentral. Lineage: Eukaryota; Viridiplantae; Streptophyta; Magnoliopsida; Poales; Poaceae.
GCGACGCUUUCCGCCGCUAGUACAGCAUUCGUUCUCUGCUCCAGAAGCAAGCAGGGUCUUGUUUAGUUCACUAGGUAAUUUUUUUACUGUAACAUUAUCGUUUGUAUUUAAUAAUUAUUGUCUAAUGACUGCCUAGAUUUAAAAGAUUUAUUUCGUAAAUUACAAAUAAACUAUGUAAUUAGUUAUUUUUUAUCUAUAUUUAAUACUUUAUGUAUAUGCUGUAAGAUUUGAUGUGAUGAGAAAUUUUGAUUUUUUUUUUAGAUUUUGAGUGUAACUAAACAAGACUCAAAUACUACUGCGUAUUACAGAACAAAACUGGUGCGCAGGCGUAGACGUGCGGUGUAGCCGUGU